UACGUAGGGUGCGAGCGUUAAUCGGAAUUACUGGGCGUAAAGGGUGCGCAGGCGGUCCCGCAUGUCGGGCGUGAAAUCCCCGGGCUUAACCUGGGAAUGGCGUCCGAAACUAUGGGACUGGAGUGUGGCAGAGGGAGGUGGAAUUCCACGUGUAGCGGUGAAAUGCGUAGAGAUGUGGAGGAAUACCGAUGGCGAACGGCAGCCCCUGG
This 209-nucleotide ribosomal RNA is filed under the name uncultured bacterium. Its description in RNAcentral is "partial 16S ribosomal RNA". It matches the Rfam family "Bacterial small subunit ribosomal RNA", at positions 524 to 732 of the family's 1533-position model. The record is from RNAcentral.